AACGGCCGUACCAUGCUGAAUAUACCGGUUCUCGUUAGAUCACCGAAGUCAAGCAUCAUUGGGCGCGGUCAGUAAUUGGGUGGGUGACCACCUGGGAACACUGCGUGCCGUU
This 112-nucleotide ribosomal RNA is filed under the name Caerostris darwini. The record is from RNAcentral. Lineage: Eukaryota; Metazoa; Arthropoda; Arachnida; Araneae; Araneidae.